GAUGAACGCUGGCGGCGUGCUUAACACAUGCAAGUCGAACGAAGCACUUUAUUUGAUUUCCUUCGGGACUGAUUAUUUUGUGACUGAGUGGCGGACGGGUGAGUAACGCGUGGGUAACCUGCCUUGUACAGGGGGAUAACAGUUGGAAACGGCUGCUAAUACCGCAUAAGCGCACGGCAUCGCAUGAUGCAGUGUGAAAAACUCCGGUGGUAUAAGAUGGACCCGCGUUGGAUUAGCUAGUUGGUGAGGUAACGGCCCACCAAGGCGACGAUCCAUAGCCGACCUGAGAGGGUGACCGGCGACAUUGGUACUGGGACACGGCCCAAACUCCUACGGGAGGCAGCAGUGGGGAAUAUUGCACAAUGGGCGAAAGCCUGAUGCAGCGACGCCGCGUGAGCGAAGAAGUAUUUCGGUAUGUAAAGCUCUAUCAGCAGGGAAGAUAAUGACGGUACCUGACGAAGAAGCACCGGCUAAAUACGUG
Molecule: ribosomal RNA, 481 nt
Filed under: uncultured bacterium
Lineage: Bacteria
Description: partial 16S ribosomal RNA
Rfam family: Bacterial small subunit ribosomal RNA
Source: RNAcentral